UGACUCGAAGGUGACAACUCAGGAUAAUACGGAGUUGUUUGUACAUACAUAUGGGGUUCCCAAAAAAUCUCAAUGAUCGUACCUUGUUCACCAUGUAUGUCGGUCAUGUAGAAUUUAGACUAUGGCAUAAAGAGGUAUAAAUAUUUUAUUUUAAUUUUAUUUAUUUAUUACGGAUUAAUUGAAAAUAACAGUUGUUUAAUACUUUAAU
RNAcentral lists this long non-coding RNA (208 nucleotides) under Lathyrus oleraceus (garden pea). RNAcentral's name for it is "Pisum sativum (pea) long non-coding RNA (PSAT_LNC019174)". The record is from RNAcentral. Lineage: Eukaryota; Viridiplantae; Streptophyta; Magnoliopsida; Fabales; Fabaceae.